RNAcentral lists this ribosomal RNA (467 nucleotides) under uncultured bacterium. Its description in RNAcentral is "partial 16S ribosomal RNA". It matches the Rfam family "Bacterial small subunit ribosomal RNA", at positions 28 to 507 of the family's 1533-position model. The record is from RNAcentral.
GACGAACGCUGGCGGCGUGCUUAACACAUGCAAGUCGAACGGAAAGGCCUCUUUCGGGGGGUACUCGAGUGGCGAACGGGUGAGUAACACGUGAGUAACCUGCCCUUGACUUUGGGAUAACUUCAGGAAACUGGGGCUAAUACCGGAUAGGAGCUCCUGCUGCAUGGUGGGGGUUGGAAAGUUUCGGCGGUUGGGGAUGGACUCGCGGCUUAUCAGCUUGUUGGUGGGGUAGUGGCUUACCAAGGCUUUGACGGGUAGCCGGCCUGGGAGGGUGACCGGCCACAUUGGGACUGAGAGACGGCCCAGACUCCUACGGGAGGCAGCAGUGGGGAAUAUUGCACAAUGGGUGGAAGCCUGAUGCAGCAACGCCGUGAGCGGGAUGACGGCUUUCGGGUUGUAAACCGCUUUCGCUCAUGACGAAGCUUUGUGUGACGGUAGUGGGUAAAGAAGCACCGGCUAACUACGUG